Non-coding RNA from Paragonimus westermani, 65 nucleotides. The record is from the annotation of a GenBank genome assembly. NCBI's taxonomy places the organism in Eukaryota, Metazoa, Platyhelminthes, Trematoda, Plagiorchiida, Troglotrematidae.
UUAGGAGUGCCAGAUGAGAUGGGUUUGAUUUAGGAUUAGAUGAUGGCUGUUUCCGCCCUCUUGUG